AGCCAUGAUAUCAAUCCUUCUCAGUCACUAAAUGAGUGUGACAACACCUUGUACAGUUGUUGGUGUCAUUAAAUCAGAUGGUGUGUAAGUGUAUUUUGUAAAAACUGUAAAGGAGGUUGUGGCUGUAGGGGCUGACGGUUCUCAUGAAUAUUACUGCUCUUCUUUCCAACAGUUAAAAGAAUAUUGGCAGAAAAACAGACCUAGAGUUCCAGCAGGAGUGAACAGGAACAGGAAAACAAAUGGCAGUAUCCCUGAGACAGCCACUUCCGGUGGUUGCCAGCCACCUGGGGAUGUGAGUCUUGGCUGACCAGGCUUCUGGGGACAGGGGGCCCAAGGGGCAAUAGAGGGUAAUUCUUAAGAUUGUGGAUGGACUGCUGGGUACUGGUUAAGAAUUCUGGCUUUAGCCGGGUGUGGUGGCCCACGCCUGUAAUCCUAGCACAUUGGGAGGCCAAGACAGGCGGAUCAUGAGGUCAGGAGAUCGAGACCAUCCUGGUUAACACGGUGAAACCCUGUCUCUACUAAAAAUACAAAAACAUUAGCCACGCGUGGUGGCGUGUGCCUGUAGUCCCAGCUACUCAGAAGGCUGAGGCAAGAGAAUGGUGUGAACCUGGGAGGUGGAGCUUGCAGUGGCCAAGAUUAUGCCACCGCACUCCAGCCUGGUGACAGAGCAAGACUCUGUCUCAAAAAAAAAAAAAGGAAUUCUGGGUUUGAAUCCUGCCUCUCCAUCUGCUCUGCUAGGGAUAUGAUUUAGGGCAAGUUGCUAGACCUCAUUGGGCCUCUCUUUUCACAUCUGUAUAAUAGAGGUGUUAUUGUUUCACUUCCAUUUGUGAAGUUUAAAUGAGAUUUGUUAUUGUUGUUUUUAUGUUAAUCCCUAGUACAUGGCCUGCUGUAAACACUCAGGACACCCAGGAUAUGGUUUGAUUUUCCUCAUCCCCAGUCUCAAGGGGAAACCAGGACAAAGAGAACAGCCACUUGCCAUCAGGAGUCACUGAAGGGGCCCCAGGAUGGGAUGGUGGGGAGAUAAGAACCAUGAGAGAAGUUGGCACAAAGGAGUUAUGGGACAAAAGGUCCAAGAUAGGCAGAAAAGAAAAUGUUGCAGUUGAUGGGGAAGAAAGGAAGUCAGAGGGCUCAGACACUGUGGGGGACAGAACAUCUCCAUGUGCACUCUCAUCUCUUGUAGUCAGCAACAGGUUUCCACAGGGAAGGCCCUACAUCAUCUGCUACCCUGAAAGAUCUGGAGGUAAGAGGCUCUGGGUGGAGGUGCAGUGACCCUUCGGGUCAACCCUCCAACCUCCUCCUCCAGGUGGGACUGGGUGCCCCUCUGCCAGCUGAGACAGCCCACACACCCCAGCCCUAACGAUCGUUCUCUCUACCUCUCUCCCCACUCCUGCUCCACCUCCUCCUCUCUGCAUGCACCUCAGAGCCCGUGCCAAGAACGAGCAGUAGUCCUGGAUUCAACGUCCGUAAAAAUCAGUCGACUGAAGAACACCAUCAAAUCUUUGGUAAGAGUCCGGUGGGGUCCCCUGAUUCCACGCUGCCAAUCCUGGGCUCCAGUUUCCCCUUGGGGCCCUGAAGAAAGGGGCUGGGGGUCCCUGGUGCCCGGGACAAAUAGGGAGCUUGGGUGCCCAGGCCUCACCUGGAGGGACCCCAGAGCAUGCAGCAUGGCUCUUCUUUUGCUGCCCUCUUUGCCGACUCUCUCCUCUCCAGACACCCCUGCUCGAGUCCUUGCUACACACGCCCUGGGGUUGUUGCCUCUUGGGGAAGUGCUAGCCUGACUGGUUGUCAAGGGCCCCGUAUUUCUGCCAUGACUCAGUCCCUAAUUUGCUCUUUGAUUCUGGACAAGCCACCUCUCCUUUUUGGGCUCGUGUUUCCAGAGGAGGUAGUGAGUAUCAAAGGUCUCUGUUAGCUCUCGAGUCUGAGAUUUAAAGGCCCCCGGGAAUGGAAACCUCAGGGCUAAGGGCUCCUGUCUGUCCUUUUCCAUCCUAUAUCUGCUGUGAAGAACCGUACCUGGCCCAUACGUGCUCAGUAAGUGUUUAUUGAAUGAACCCACUUUUCUAAAUCACAAGCUGCCAGAAGGAGGGGCCUUUCUGAAACUCCAUCUCUAGAGGUUUAUGUUGCUGUCCUCUCAAGAGAUUCCAGAUUCAGACUGAGUUCUGUGGCUGUGGGCAAAAGCCAACAAAGACCCAAAUCCUCUGUCCUUGGGAGCUUGAGGAGAGUUUACCGGUUCGUGUUCCCAUUAUGUCUGAGAACUUUGCCUUUAAAAUCCAUUCCUGGCCCCUGCCUACCGCUUCCUGAUCUGGGGAAUAGAGUUGAGGGGGCCACCCUCCAUCACCUUAUUUGACUCUCCCCACAGAAACAACAGAAGAAACAAGUGGAACAUCAGCUGGAAGAAGUAACGUGAUUUCGUUUCCUCGCGACAUGACUGCUGGGUUUGGGGGGCACUCAGACAUAGAGGCCCCAGUCUCGUCUCACCCACUCCCAGCCUGGGGAAGAAGGCUCACCCCUCAGAUUCCACCCCAUCCCCACAGGGCCCCUGAUAACCUGGUCCCAUGGGUGGGCCUGUCCUGGGGCAUUGGUGGCAUUCUGGGGGCAUGUCUCUUGCUGUGCCAUCUCUGCCUCCCCCUGGUAAGAGCUCUGUCUUCCUCUUCCUACAGGAAAAGAAAGCAAACAACGAGAGACAGAAAGCCGAAAGGGUGCUAGAGGUGAGUGGAGGGUGUGCAGUUUCCUCCUGUCCUCCGGAGAAUGUUUCUUUCCUUCUCUUUCAGCACUUGCUUGGCUUUUCUCCCAAAGGUUCAAAUCCAGACAUUGAUCAUACAGAAAGAGGAACUAAAUACGGACCUGUACCACAUGGAACGUUCUCUCAGAUACUUUGAAGGUGGGAAUCUGGGCACCCUGUCAUCCUUCAACCUGGCACUUUGACAGGUCUUCAGGGGGAGUCCUUUGGGCCCCAUCUCAACUCUCUCAUUACAGAAGAGUCCAAGGACCUGGCUGUCCGCCUGCAACAUUCAUUGCAGUGUAAAGGAGAGUUAGAGAGGGCUCUGUCUGCUGUCAUCGCCACAGAG
Molecule: long non-coding RNA, 3062 nt
Filed under: Homo sapiens (human)
Lineage: Eukaryota; Metazoa; Chordata; Mammalia; Primates; Hominidae
Description: non-protein coding lnc-CHRFAM7A-4:1
Source: RNAcentral